Molecule: long non-coding RNA, 995 nt
Filed under: Homo sapiens (human)
Lineage: Eukaryota; Metazoa; Chordata; Mammalia; Primates; Hominidae
Description: novel transcript, antisense to MID2
Source: RNAcentral
AACACACGUACCAGCCCACUUGCACGCACUUGCAAGCGCUUGCACCCUCCACACGCACCGCUCGGAGCUUUUCCCCCUCUCUCCUCCCAAUGGCUGGCUUCUGGAGCCGACCCUUCCACGCGCCCCCAGCUUCGCGGCAGCUAGGUCCCUCCCCAGCGCGCUGAGCUCACAGCGCAGGAGCCGGUCGCAGCCACACAGGCCGGUCCGACGGGACCACUGCUUCCCUCCUCACAUCCCAGGAGACACCAGGUGGGGCGUGGCACCUCCCACACACGGCUGGAGGGACUCCCAGGAUUUCCCGUCCUUCCGAAUUCGUGGGGGGUCAGAGGACUGCGGGGAGGCGUUUCUCAUCCUCGCUGGGGAAAGGACUCACCUGGUUCCCAAAGCCAGUUUGCUCUUCCUCUACUUCCUGCCAGAGGUCGUAGGAUUUCUGAUGAUCUGCCCUGAUGUCCCAACAUUCUUGGGGAGCCUGGCCUUAAAGAACAAUGGAAAGAAGCAGUCAUAGGAAUCCUGGACCAGGAAUAUGUGCCUGAGAGGGAUUAUACACCUGGUGCUGGUAAACACUGCAACAUUUCAAAGAUGGUCCUUCCAGCUUUACAGCAGUGCCGUCCAGCUCUUUAAAAGGAUUGAGAAGAGCCAGAAGGAAAUCAACCUGCCCAUGGAGCUUCUGGGAUGGAUUAAGCCAUUGUAUCACAGCAGUUCUGGAAAGAAGAAAAAGGUGGCACACAAAAUAUACAGGAAAGUGUUUUAAUUUACUCAGUGCCCUAAAAGCUAAGAACAAGACUAAAUAAGUAAAAUUGAAAGGGCUAUACUACAUUCAUUUGUAUUUUCUGCACUGCAUGCUGCUCUAUAAAUACUCUUUCUCACUAUAUACUGUUUUCCCUAACUAGACUGAAAGUUCCUGGAGGUCAUCAACCACAUAUAUUUCUUUUGUAGCCCCCAAAUCGCCCACCACAGAGUACACAGCGUAUGCUCAAUAAAUGCUGUUGACCAAC